GGUAGACGCUACGGACUUAAGUCCCAUUUUACAUGUUGAUCUCAGCAAUAAUUUAAAUCGUAGUAAAAAG
This 70-nucleotide transfer RNA is filed under the name Bryolawtonia vancouveriensis. RNAcentral describes it as "partial tRNA-Leu". Lineage: Eukaryota; Viridiplantae; Streptophyta; Bryopsida; Hypnales; Neckeraceae. The record is from RNAcentral.